GUGUACCGCACACAGACGCCUACGUUCCAACUACGAGUUAUUGACUCUUUUUCCGUAAAACUGUCGUCUGUCUGUCGAGUGUGACUUCCAUUUUUGUUUGUGAAUUUCAUCUUAAUAACAAAUUAUUAUUUUUAUUCUUAUAAAUUAUUAAAUACUUUUAUUAAUAUAUCUUGGUUUUAUUUGACUAUAUUACCGGUUUAUUCGUAUUACUAGCUUCCUCAUCAAACAUGGGAUCCGACGAACCAGAACAAUACAGAAAAUUAUUCAUUGGUGGUUUAAAUUACACCACAACUAAUGAUUCACUUAAAGAAUUUUUUGAACAGUGGGGUGAAAUUGUAGAUGUCGUUGUCAUGAAAGACCCUCAAACUAAAAGAUCUCGAGGAUUUGGAUUUAUUACUUAUUCACAAUCAUCUAUGGUUGACCAAGCCAUGUCAAAUAGACCCCAUAAAAUCGAUGGUCGUGAAGUGGAAACCAAGCGAGCUGUUCCACGUGAUGAUAUUGAUAAACCAGACAUUGCAGCUACUGUAAAAAAAAUGUUCGUUUCUGGCAUAAAAGAACAAUCUGAAAGUGAUCUUCUUGACUAUUUUGGAAAAUUUGGUAAUAUCACUAAUGUAACUAUAGUAACUGAUAAAGAUUCUGGUCAAAGAAAAGGAUUUGGAUUUAUUGAGUAUGACGAUACAGAUUCAGUUGACAAAGCUGUUUUGAUCAAAAGUCACCAAGUCGCUGGAGGAAAAUUGGAUGUGAAGAAAGCUAUUAGUCGUAGUGAUGGUGCUGGUGGUGGCCGUGGUGGACGAGGCGGUCGUGGUGGUGGCGGAGGCGGUGGUGGUAAUAGAAGUAGCUGGGGUGGAAACCCACGAAACGAACAGUGGGGAGGACAUCAUAACAGAUCAAAUGGCGGCGGAGGAGGAUAUGGAAAUUCUGGAAUGGGAGGAGGAUAUGGCUCUGGCGGCGGUGGUGGUGGUGGGUAUGGAGGUAGUGCAGGUGGUUACAACUCAAAUUCUGGUGGAGCCUGGCAAGGUGGCGGUGGUGCUCCUCAAAGUUGGGGUAACAAUAAUCCAGCAUGGGGCAACCAAGGAGGUGGUGGUGGAGAUAGUUGGGGAGGCUCACAACAACCUAGUAAUAACUGGGGUCCAAAUCAAAGUUAUGGUGGUGGUGGUGGCCCAAUGAGGUCAAAUUAUACCUCUAAUAAUCGUGCUACACCUUAUGGAAACCCAGGUAGAGCUGGUAAUGUAAAUGCUGGUAAUGCUGGUUAUGGUCAAAAUCCUGGUCGGCGGUAUUAAUGCAUCACUUUCAACUAAAGGGUGGGCAAUAUGACUGUCAAUUGAUACAUUUUCAUCGUGAAUGUAUUUCUUUGUCAUUGAUCCUGUCACUGGAAGAAAAUAUACUAAGUAUAUUCCAAAUACAAACCAUGAAAAUCAGCUUAUCUACAAGAAUAAGCCUUGAUAACAUGAAAAAUAAUAGAAAUGUUUACAGAACUUGAAAAGAUCUUGUUACAGAGUUUUAUUGACAAUUAUACAUUGAAGAAGGUUUACAGUUCAUAUAUUAUGAAAUAUUUUUCAGACUGGUGGUGUUACAAAAAUGACUUAUAUGAAGAUAACAUUUUUGUAAAGCUAAUGAUUUUACUUGUGUUUAAUUGAGAAAUAUAUAAUAGUUUUAAUUAAA
Molecule: RNA transcript, 1662 nt
Organism: Aphis gossypii (cotton aphid)
Lineage: Eukaryota; Metazoa; Arthropoda; Insecta; Hemiptera; Aphididae
Gene name: heterogeneous nuclear ribonucleoprotein 87F-like
Exons: 11
Source: RefSeq, a predicted model, not a curated record